Molecule: non-coding RNA, 8413 nt
Organism: Monodelphis domestica (gray short-tailed opossum)
Lineage: Eukaryota; Metazoa; Chordata; Mammalia; Didelphimorphia; Didelphidae
Source: RefSeq, a predicted model, not a curated record
AGUUCCCUUCUGGAGAGCAGUUGGUCUCUCAGUUUGGAGACGCUGAAGAGGGAGGUGGUGAAUAGGAUUUCCUCCUGAGGGUUGCCCACUUUUUCCUGCUUAUGAUUGGAAGUCCUUCCCCCCAACAUUUCCCAAUUGAAAAAAGACUAUUGAAGAAAGUAUUUUGAAUCUCUGUCAGACUUUAUCUCUGCUCCUGGUGCCUGGGUCAGAACUGUGGCCAAGAGGCCAAACCCAGGGUCAGUCAAUUUGACUAUCUCUCAGGGGGCUCAGGUUGCCAAAGCCCAAGUUCCCCCCAAACUUGAGGAGGAGGAAAGGGUUUAGAUAGAGACAGGGACCCCAUUUCCCCCCACUAUCCUUUCCCUUUCCUUCCCUGUCAUCCAUUCCUUUGUAUUACCCUGAUUGAGUUAAUUGACAUUAAAGUAGUUUUCUUUUCCCCAAGCUUGGAAUCAAGUGUGAGUGAACAGCUUUAGGGAGGAGAGACAUCUUCUUAAGAAGAAAUAUUUAAGUCUCUAGAAGUGGAGGAGGGCCAAGAGGGCCAAGAGCAGAUCUGGGAGAGCAGCCAUAGCUAUGGAGGGAAGGGGGAAGGGCCUGGGCCCUAUGUUGUUCAUCCCUAUAGCUUUUUUCAAGAGGUAGAGGGCCAUGUCCUGGAGAAGAUGGAGUAGACAGGCCUGGCACUUGUCUCCCAGUGACAUAAACAUGGCUGAUUCAAUGGAUCAAAGCCAAUCUCAGGGAGGCCACUUUGAGGGUCCAAGUGAGCUCUCCUCCCUUUUUGUGUGUUUCUUGCCAGGUUAACAAGCCUUCCAGCUAUGUCUGCAUUCAUUAGUACACAACUAUGACAAAGAAGAAAAUGCUGAGGCUGCCACUGACCCAACUCGACCAGGUCACAAGUUUGGCAGGGGAAGGUGAUACAAAGGAUUACAGUCUCUGGAUGCAAAAUGGUCCUCAGAGAUUACAGUGAUGAGCAAACGCAAAACAAAGAUGAAACAGAAGAGGGAUUUGUGUCCUGCCCUUGGUUGAAGACUAGAAGCAAGCCAUGGCAAUCCCACCUCUUCCAGCAAAGGUUAAAGGACACCUGCACACACUUCAAUUUCUGGGUGGUUCAGUGGAAGGAGCCCUGGCCUUAGGGUUCAGACCUUGUGCCUUUACUCCACACUUCAUCCGUCUCCAGGUCAGUUUUGACACUUGAAUGAUGUUGGAUCCAGUGGCCCCCAAGGAUAUUUCUGACACUAAAGUUCUGAUCAUUCCAUUCCAUGACUGUACUGGCCCAGGAGAUCCAUCAGCAAUUCCAGUGGGAUGAAGCCCCCGUGCAAUCCAGAACCUAAAGAGAUCGAGCAUCCACCACAGCAGCAGCGAUUGACCUUCUGCUCUCCGGAGCCCAGGUCUGGCUGGAUGUGUCCAGUUUGGGAUUAAGAGGCACCUGGAAAGUCAGAAGUCCAUCCAGGCCAAGGACCCUGGAUGUUGGGAUGAAGAAAGCGCCAUUUGCAGGAACAACCAAAGGGAUUAGGAUCAGUCUGGGAAGAGAAGACUGGUGGGUGAGUCAAUGACUGAGCUGGAGGGGGAGGGAUAGCUGGCCACAGACUGGAGUGAAUUCACUUUAAAUGCUUUAAGGAACAAUCUCUAAGUGCCCAAGAGAAUUUACCCUUUAGAAUUCCAGGUGGCAGAGCAUGAACCAAGGGGUGCAGCUCCGGAAAAGAUGGAUUCUGUCUCAGUAGAAAGGAAAAUGAAAAUCGACAUCAUUUUCAUAAAGCUGAGCAAGAAUGGGGUGUGUUCCCUCCUGAGAAAGUGGUUACGUGUUCUCUAAGUGUUCAAGAGGAAGCAGGAAGAGAUGAUGAAGCCCACCCAGUCCCUCCCCCCAUCUUACAGAGGAAGAUGCUGUGGCCUGGAGACUUGGCCAGGAAUGUGCAGACAGCACUUGCUCCUCUUGCCCAGUGAGCUAGCACCCAGUAGUACACUGUCCCAAUUCUCAGGGAUUUCCCACCUCCAACUUGAGACUUCUCUUGCUUAGCUACUCAGAGAGCACAGGCUGGGCAUCUCCACCCCACCCCCACACAAGGCUGCCUCAACCACCUGACGUGCCGAAAGUCCCUGGGACAUUGGUGUCUGGCCUUUAUGAGGAGAGGGCACUCAUUCAGGGAGCAGCCACUUGGGAUCCUCCCUAAGCAGCUCUUCCAUGGAAUCUAAUGGGAGGACAGCAGAGGGUCAGGGAAGGGGCCGCUGGGCUCUAAGGCCUCCAGCAGUCUCUUUGGCUUCCAGUUCUGUCUCUGCUCCUCAAAGCUGUGUGACCAAGGGCAGAUCACUUCCCCUUUGUGAAUCUCAAUUUCCUCAUUUGUAAAAUGGAGAGCGUUCUAUCUGGAAUACUUCCUCACGGGUUGUUGAGAGAAUCUGAGGGUGAGGAGAACGUAGAGUGUUUAGCAGGCAUGAGCAAUUAUCAUUGAGCACACUUAUUUAUUUAUUUAUUUAAACCCUCACCUUCCGUCUUGGAGUCAGUACUGUGUAUUGGCUCCAAGGCAGAAGAGGUAAGGACUAGGCAAUGGGGGUCAAGUGACUUGGCCAGGGUCACCUAGCAAAUGUCUGAGGCCAGAUUUGAACCCAGGACCUCCUGUCCCUAGGCCUGGCUCUCCAUCCACUGAGCCACCUAGCUGUUCCCCCCUCCCCCCAUUGAGCAUAUUUAAGCAGGGAAGACUUCUUGGAGAGGGUGAGCUUGGAGUCAGGUCUUAGAGGAUGUAAUGAAUACAGUACCAUAACAUCAUUGGACUAGCAAUCAGAAGGCAUGGCUUCAAAUGCCGGCUGCCAUGUGUACUCCCAGGAGCACCCUGGAUAAUCGCAUGAUGUCUCUAGACCUCAGCUCCAUGAUGUUUCCAGUGAGGAGGAGAGACCAGAUCAGAGCAUCUCUAAGGUCCCUUCCCGUGGGCAAUCCAUGACUCCGAGAACCUGGGUUGGUGGUAAAGAUGGACCGAGGAGGGUGGCCCCAAGAGCUCCUUUGGCCUUUGAUUGGGUGGCAGGCCCUUCUCCAGACAGCUCUUGGAAUCUGGAGUUUUCAAAAGCAAAUUCGACAUGGAGUCACAGAUGAAGAGAAUCAUAGCACAGGUUUCUCGCUAUCCCAUCCGGUAUCACACAGGGUGGGGGGAGCAGAAAUGAUUUUGCCCUGUGCUUUCGAUGCAAUUAUCGAAAAUUAUCCAGAUUAAACUUGAGCCUCUCUCCUGUAGCUCAUUAGGCACAGGGUUCCACUGUCUGCCCUUUCCAUCAGAAGAUGUGCUCUCAUUUUCAAAUUGAAUUUCUCCUCCAUUAACUGACUGCUUCGGUCUAUUUUUAAUGGGCUUCCUUUCAGGACGAGCCUGCUUGUUUGGUUGGGGAAUUAUCUCAUUUCCUCCUACAAAGCCCGGCCCCAUUUCUCGUCCUCUGUAAUUGUGUCCAUUUCCAGGGAAAGGUGUCCUAGCCAAACAGCAGGCCAAAUCCCCUCAACCCUGGCCCAGUCUCAUGAUCCUGCUCUCUCCCUACCUACAACCAGCGCACCGAUCUCUCUUCUUCAAUGCGGAGGAUUUGCCUCGAGGAGGGAAGCCAAGUUCAGCCAACCCAGUCCUGCUUUCAAAUGCCCAGAAGCCUUGGCAUCGUUCAAUCAAAACAAAGCAACAACCAAAAGGCCUUAGUCAUCCGAAUGGAACCCUAAAGGGAACUGCCCCGUUGUGGUGUGUUUGCCUAGGGCACUAUGCUGAGAACUGGGAUAUCAAGACAAUCCCUACCUGAAAGGACUUUACAUUCUCAUGGAGGAAGACAACCUUAUAGAGAAAACUGGAAUGGAGGAACACAUAGCCCCCAUCUCCCACAAUUCCUCGACCUUCAUACCAUAACAAGGUUUGGAAAUGGUGGCUCCAAAGUGAUGGAGAUGACCAGUUCUGGACAAGAUAGACAUUUCUCAGACCCCAGGGUGAUUGCAGGGAUGGAGUCUAAAGUUCUGGUGGGAUGCGGAUGAGAAAGCUGAGGACAUGGCUUGAAAAUGGAAGCCUGUAAGAUUUCUAUCACUUGGUUGGCACCUGAAAUAGUGAAGAGGUGCCACCUGUGGCCAAAGAGGGCCCUUCUCUUAGGCACAGGAGAUUCAAAGACCAAUUAAAAAGUCUGCCCUACCCUUGAGAAGCCUGCAUUCUCUUGGGGUAAACAAGAUGCAUGUGAAGAAUGACUGAUGGGACCUGCAAUCUCACUAUUAUGUGGAAUUCUCAAGGGGAAAAUGUCUUACUUUUAAUGCCAAUCAGCAGCUUCUCUGCAUCCUGGAGACAAAAUAAAAUUCAGAAUCCACUGGGAAGCUAAAGGACUUGUCUAGGGUCAUAUAGCCCUUGUGUGACAAAGGUCCAAGUCCAUCUGAAGUCUUCCAGCUUCAAAGGCCAGUUUUUGUCCUCUCUAUUAUCCUGUCACUCACCCAUUUACAUGCUUAAGUACAUUCACAAUACAUACAAAGUAAAUCAAAGGAAUUGGGGAUAUGGAGCAGCUCCUACCAUUCCCUUCUACACACUCUGUCCCAGUCACAUGAGUGUCCAUGUCAAAAUAUAAAUAGAAAAGUCUUUCUCCCAUGCCUUUUGGAAUGAACUUGUUCAUGUGUAGACCUUCAGCAUAGACAUUAUCUCCAAAUAAGUCCUGGGGGUCCACACGUGUAGUCUGAAAGCACAAAGGUCAAAGAAGGUAGGCUUUCCACCCAAUGACACUGCCAGAGGCAGACACAGUGCCCCUCACUUAACAAGCUCCUUUAGCUUUGACAAUCGUGUCCAUUAUCGACUCUCUGAGAGCCAUUUAGACCAUCUCUACCAACACAGAAUGGCCAGUGCACAAAUUCUCAAGGUCUGCUUUCACCUGCCUUCAUCCCAAGCAAACGUUCCCAUUUGAAUGAAAAGAACCGACAGUCUCAUAGCCCAGGGCUUCUGUCAGCCCCAUUUGCCGGUAAGACCCCUUCUCAAAGUCUAUCCUUUCUCCUCUUUUGCACAUUUCCCUACAAUCUUGCUACAAUCCUUCUGGAUCUGGCUCAGUUUCUCCCUCCUCUGUGAAGAAUUUGUUGAGAGCCCAAGCAAACAGUGAAAACUCCCCAGCCUGAACUGUAUCGAGGGGUGUUGACCAGAUGUCUUUCUUUAGCCUACAGCCAGCUGAUGUGCUCCACUUUAGGGGUCCUGUUCUUCAAGGUAAUGACCAGCCCCUCUGCUUCCUCCACCUCCCCCACAGUGACCAGAGAGUGGAAAUGGGAUUCAAGGCAAGUUGAUUAUUUUGAGUCUUCCAGCUACUGACCUGGCAAGUGAGGAAGUGGGUUCACAUUCCAGACUAAUCAUACUUGGCUCCACAAGAGCCUGGGGCUUGGAAUACAGGAGUCCAGCAUUUGUGACAAAAUAGGACUCGGCAACUGCUGAGGUUGGUGUCUGUGAACUGCCUGCCUGGCUUGUUUGGUUACCCAGGAAGGCCCACGUCCGAAUGAUGGAUGGACCAGCCAGGCAAGAACCAAAGUGUCACUUCUCCUCAGCCUUCUUCUCUGAUGGCUUUGAUGGCAUCUCAUGCCCAGGGACUCCAACUGGCAUUCUUGUUUUGGUCCCAGGGAGGAUUAGCAGAGAACAAACAAAGUUCUCUCAUCUGUACAAAUGCCUCUGGGAAUCCUUCACCCAUUAAUGGAAGGGCAAUUUUCUGUAUGUGACUUCCCCAAUUUAAUUUCUUUAAUGGAAGUUUUUGGUGAAAUCCUAAGUGAAUCCCUCAGCAAACAGUGGGAAAAGUUGUGGGGAGAAGGGAUUUGCUAGGCCUUUCUUUUGUUCUGGGGUGUAUGGGGUGCUUAGGGAGGGGUAGUAUCUCUGGUAUGGAGGGCUUGUCGUGCCCUCCUAGGGCAGCUCUCCAGCGACUGACCCUCACCUGACACCCAGCUCUCACUUGUGGCUCCCAGUAGCUGCUAGCAUGCAGCAGUGGCCACACCCCGGGCAACAGCUUCGACAAGCCGGCUAAACCUUGUGAGGGUAGCCAUUGGGUCGUCGACCCCUGGUGAACCAUGUGAAGACUGCUUUGGCGGAACAGACGGAAGAAACCAACAAGAAGGUUCAACGGCUGAGAGGGCAACGCAGCAAAGCACUGUGGAGUGCUCAGGACGUGUUGGAGCACAAAAGACAACACAGCCAUCCAAUGCAGCUGAGGAAGUCUCCAGGUGUAACGUGCCACUGGACCCAGGCUUCCAACGCCCAGAGAGUGGGACUGUCACUGUGCAUUGACUUUUCCACUUAAAUCUUCAUGCACAAGUGUCUUUGUGCACAAAAACGCACAAAGACAAUUGUCAUCCUCGGUUAUCGAGAGACUACAACAACUUUUGUUCUGGAGCCCAGUUGCUUAACUCCUAAUUCUCUCAAUAAAGACUGCCUUCUGGACUGAGCAAAUUCCAGGUUUCUGAAGCUUAUUGAAUAGGACAGCAAGUCCCCAAGCUAAGUCUGCCCACAGCAUGAGAUGGAAGGUCAGAAGAUCUGAAGCUAUGUCUACCUGCCUGCUGUACACUCUGAUGCUCUACUCAGUCACUAUAGGGCAUAUGUGGGACUGUCACUGCCCAAUUUGUUUAGAACACAUCUAUGAGGCAUGCAUCCUGUGUUCACAGCUUUCUGUCCAUUUAUGGGGAAGAUGCAAAGUUUAGAGCAACCAAGAUCCCUGACCUCAGGAAGCUCCCACUCUGGCAGAUAGGGAACCACCAAAAAAGCACAGAUCAUGCUAGAAGGCCAGGAUACAUGCUUGAAUACUGCCAAGGAACCAUGGAAAGUCAGAUAGGGAAGGUGGCAGCCUCUACACUCUUUUCUAACAACUGACAAAAUUAUGACUAGUUUUUUUUAACAAAAAGAGUAGAAAAUGGGAGUAAAGAGAAGAGACAAUUAGAGAACUAGACAUUUCUUUCAAUUUUCACAGUUUUUCAAACUUCUCUAAAAUAGGAAUAUACACCAGGGAUAAAGAUAUUUCAGUUGUUUCCAUGGUUUAGGUCACCAACAAUCCAAAACAGGCAAAAAGUCAAUGAACUAACAACCAAGAUGGCCAAUAAUCCCAAAUUCCUGAUGAGUGCUUAUCUGGAAUCCCUUCCCUGAACCCUACCUCACAUUCCCAACAACAGCAUUAUACAAGUCAACUCAUGUGCUUUCAACAGAAAUCACGUCUCCAUUUCAAUUAUGUGUCCUUACCCACAGUGCAAACUCCAAAGAGCAGAAAUGUGUACAUUCCCAAGAGAGCAUGGAACCCCUGUGUACUGGUGCUGAAUGGUUCAAAGGAGAAAUGAGAAUUAUGAAAGCAGAACUUAUGAACUGCACAGAGGAAAUAAUUGCCAGAAUAGAAAAACAAAAAUAUUAUUCUCUUGUAGCAAGUCUCACCAAAAAAAAGAGAAAACAACUGAUUUUAAGUAAAAAUAUGUGGAAGUGAAGGACAACCAGGAAAAAGGAAAACAAAAAAAAAACAAAUUAAAAGAAAAUACCUUAAACAUAAUGAUCUCAAGGACUGUAUGUAAAGAGACAACAUACCAAUUAUAGAUCUCACAAAAGAACAGAAUUGAAAAACAAAAAAGCAAAUUUUGAAUACCAUAAUGCAAGAAAUAUUAUGAGAAAACUGCCCAGAAUUUUUGAAGACAGAAAAUAAAGGGCCAGUUGAAAGGAUAAACAAAUCAUCUCCAGAAAGAAACCCUAUACACUAAAGUCCAAGACACCUAAUGAUUAAAUUGAACAAUGCUGAAGAGCAACAUAUUUUGCAAAUGAGAAAGACUUUCAAAUAAAAGGAAUGGAAAUGUGAAUAAUAGAAGAUUACUCCACAUCCACCAGAAACCCAAGGAGAGAAUGGAAUAAUGUAUUCUGGAGAGCAAAAGAACUCAAGAUAUAGCCCAACAUGACUUAGCCCGCAAAGCUGAGCCUAACCAUAAAUGAAAAAAGUAAGUUCAAUAAUAAAGAAGCAUUUGAAACAUUCAUUGAAAGAAUAUAAAAUAUGAAGAAGUUAUUUGCUUCUCAAACAACCAAUAAAACAGACAUGUAAGAAUAUUAAACAAAGAGAUCAACUAAGGACAAUUUAACAAUAGAGACCAUUAAGAGAUUUCAUUCUAAAUCUUUGUGAGAAGACAGGGUAAAAGCCAAAGCCAAAGAGAAGGAAUGGUGCAGAAACAGAUCUAAAGCAUCACAGCUUAACCUUGAAAGAUUCCAUCUACAGGCAGCCUGCUUUUCUGAGGAGGCAGAGAAACAGAGGGAGCCUGCCAGAUGGUGCUUCUCAGGAGGAGAAGGGCUAUGACUUCGGCCGCCAAAGGCCACACAAAGAGUGCGCGGGGCCAGGAAGAGCGCCAUUUUCUAUGGUGAUUCAAAUUUCAUAUUUAAAUAUUUUUCUAACUGCAAGUGGUUCUUGUGUAUAAUGGGGAUCCUUGGCACAUCUGUGUCUUAUUUAGCUCCUUGGGACAUUG